Molecule: ribosomal RNA, 200 nt
Filed under: uncultured bacterium
Lineage: Bacteria
Description: partial 16S ribosomal RNA
Rfam family: Bacterial small subunit ribosomal RNA
Source: RNAcentral
AGAGUUUGAUCCUGGCUCAGGAUGAACGCUGGCGGCGUGCCUAAUACAUGCAAGUCGAACGGAGCAGCAAUGCUUAGUGGCGACCGGGUGCGUAACACGUAGCUGACCUGCCCCUCAGCGGGGGACAACUGUUGGAAACGACAGCUAAUACCGCAUGAUCUUGGCAACCCCAAACGUUGCUAAGUAAACUUUCGGGGCUG